Long non-coding RNA from Bombina bombina (fire-bellied toad), 475 nucleotides. RefSeq lists it as uncharacterized. Lineage: Eukaryota; Metazoa; Chordata; Amphibia; Anura; Bombinatoridae. The transcript is spliced from 2 exons. The record is from RefSeq and is a predicted model, not a curated record.
AUAUAUGGGUAGAAAGGAUUGCUGUGAGUUGCAAAAGCUUACUAUAGUUUAGCUCACCUUAUUUGGAACAUGGCCAAAAGUAUAUUGUCAGCGAUCUUAAAGGGUAUUUAAGAGGCAUGAGAGAUGACAGUAUUUAGAGUGCCUCUCUGGAAGGGAAAACAUCAAGUUACACUCCAUAACUUAUGGCCUCUCACAGAUGCAAACAGGCCAAUGUUGUGUUGUUCAAUGAAGGUACCUAUGUUCCGAACUAUAGGAGUCUAUGCAUCACUUUAACGCAUGACCACCCGUGCACCUGAAUGCUAUUGUGAAUUAGUAUCAAUGUAUAAAGUAGAGGAAGAGGAGUUUAUUCACUAUUCCUGGCGAAGUGCCUGUCGGAAAUGUAUGAAACGCAUAGGAUGUUCACUUGACCUGCUGUAUCACGUAUGAUGUGUUGCUGUUUUCCUUGCAAAAUAAAUUGCACUGCUUGAUGACCACA